CACUCAUUUUUAAAAUGUAGUUGAUCAUAAUGAAUUAUUCCUGAAAUGGCAACACAAACAGUACCUCCACGACGUAUGAAAACUGCAAAGAAAGAGCUGCUAAUUGUGAUUUGAGGCAUAUCCUCUAUCUGCCAAAACCCCAGAGGGGAGAAGGUUAGUGGUACCUCCUAUCUCAACCCAUUGAUGUGCCACAUGGAGUUCAUGGGAUAUGCGUUCAGGCACUAGCAUUUUGGGCCAAUUGUCCACCAACAGGUAUUUUACAAAACUUUCAACCAAACUUUGUAAACAUCUCUUGAGACACUGUAAAAAUUCUCAAACUCCUACAUUUUACAAGAUUUCCUGGAAUAAUGCAUGGCUGUGAUGUCCAGGGGAAAACACUGUGCAUUUUCAUAUGCUCAGACCAGAAGUGUUGGAGAUUCCACUGUGGAGCCACUCCAGGUCAAUCAGAAAUAAGGAACUGUGAUGAGGUUUGCAGCUGGCAGGAGAGGACGACAAUGUGGCCGCAUGCAUCUCCAUUCUCCCGUUGGCAACAGAAUUGAAGCUCACAUGAAACAGCUUGGGGAAUGAGCCCAUGGCCCAGCAAGCAGACUUGGCACUCUUUUCCUUCCCACUCCCACCCCAGCCCCUGACUUGACAACAAAAACUGAAGCGGGUCUUCAGGCCAAGUCUUGAAGUUAGGCAGAGCCACAGAUGGAAAAAAAAAAAAAAACACAUCACUGAAACAUCAUGGAGGAAAGCUGCCAUGGAACUUCACGUGAGUGUGAGCAAGUUCUAGACUUUCACAGUAUUGAGCAACUGAGAUGUGGGGUCUAUGUGACAGUGCCAAUAAAACCCAGCCCUGGUACCAUUUUCUGAUUGUUGUCUUCACAACAUUGAUGUGGAAACAGAUGCUGAUGCUGCCACUGUCAUCAAGGAGAAUCAGCUUCUGGAACCUUUAUGACUCCUUCUCUGGAAACUGGUUAAUCACUCAGGAGAUAUCUCCACCAGAAGCUCUUCCCACUCCCUGAACCCUUGCCCUGCCCCAUCAGUGAAAACUUUGAGCAUCCACUAUGUGUAUACUGUGCUAUGUGCUCCCUCAUACAUCUCAUCUCAAACACUACAGAAACCCGUCUGGCAGGUAUUGUGACCCUCUUUCAGCAGGAGGAGAGACUGAACACUCACAUAAGUCUACCAGCUGGUAAGUGGCCGAAUCUAGAUUGAAAUCCCCUCUUGGGACUGUGAAGUCAGUGAUGGUCCAGCUCUCACCAUGGUGUCUCCUGCCCUGACCCAUACUUAUCUGUCUCCCUGCUCCCACCUUAGGAUGUUCCUUGCAAUGACCAUUUCUGGGAAGGGCAAUGUGGGAGUCUCUCCUUGAGGGAAGCCAAGUCUUUUCACUGAAACCAGAGUGGGUGGAGGAUGUGUAACUGGCCUCUGCAUUUAAAACUUGGAACACAUUUUUUCCGUGGAAAAAAUAUUAUGCAGAGAUGUUCCAUUUUUCAAAAAUGUAUGCAAAAGCACUUUGCAAACCAUGAAGAAGUCUAUAAUAUGCCUAUAAGGAAUUACUAUUCUGCAGUACAUUAGCACUGUAAUUCUGACACAUUGUGGAUUAAAUAGCCUUUUGUGAAGUAGUUUGAGAAUUUAACCUCUGAGUGUUACAUUGUCUCAAAGGAAAAAUACAUUCCAAUAGCCAAACAACUGACUUACAACAGAUUUUUGGAACCAAAUCCAUUCAUAACUGAGAACUGCCUGGAUUAACAUGAAGAGGACACAUCAUCACCAUCUUCAUCAAGUAUUAUUUAUGAAGGGCAGUGCAUGGGGUGAGGGCUUCAGGGUGAAAGAAAAAAGAAGGGAAGUGUUAAUCUAAUUUUUAAUGGCUACAAUUCCACAUCCCUGCUUGUGAAUGAGCUCAAGCUGUUCCAAAACAUCCCUCUCAUUUUUUCUCUUCACUUCCUUCCCCAUUUUUACUUAUCUUUUCCUCUCCUAUGGUUGUUACUCUUUUUUGGCCAUUCCUCUUUGUCUGUCUUCCUUAUUUACUCAGUAUGCAUUCUUAUAUUAGACACAUUCUUUUCAGGGACUGGUUAUAUUCUCAGAGUCUGGGACUGAGGGAGUCUUAUCCUUUCCUCUGCCACAGCUGUAUGACAUUCAUUUCUUUUCUGAGUCAUUCUAAAAUUGUCCAAACCAGUUUUCUGACCUCUGCUUACCCUGACUGUCAUCCAGUGAAUAUAUAAGAUCAAUUUUCUUUGGGGAUAACAUGUUGUGACUACUUAUAGUUUUUGCCUCACAAAAUAUUAUAAUUCCUCACAUUGCAUUUGGAGAUGCUACAGAACCUUUAUCUCUAGCCCAUUCCUACACAAAGCUUUUUUCCUUGUAUUAUCUUAGGUCAAAUUGAACUGCAUGUUAUUCCCCAAAUAUACUUCCUUCCUUAUCCCUUUGCUAUUCUGUCUUCCUCUACAGUGCUCUGCAAGUCACCAGUAUGAAAUUCUGUGUGUCCUUCAAUACUCUCCCUAAAGGCUACUUACUUGCAGUGGGAUCCAUAUAUCCCCUCAUAUAUGAAUCCUUAAUUGCUUUUCAAAAAAAUAUUUAUUUAACUCCUUUUAUAUAUUAGGCAUAUGCUGGACACUUUUUAUACAGAAUUCUAUUUAGUGUUUGUAAUAUCCCUGUAAAGUAACUGCAAUUUCCCCACUAUUCCUAUAUGGAAACCAAGAGUUAAAGGACGCGCUCUAGGUCAGGAAGUAGAAGAGGCCAGAAUUUGAACUGACACACAUCUGGAUGGCAAAACCCAUUUGUCUCUUUCUACCACUUUCUCUCUUUCUAUCACUCCCUCCUUCACUAUUUCUCUUAAAGUAAAAGAUUUGAAAUGCAGUAUAUGGGCUAUUGAUGUGUACUAUUGAUUUCAUAGAUACUUUUAGGUCAGAAAAUUCAUCCUAAUCAUCUUUGCAUACUAGCCUACUCUCAUGCUUUGAAUAGUCAAAACUUAAUGUGACAUUGAUGUAAAAGUGCCCCUUCAGGCACGUCACUGAGGAAGUUAAAUUAACAAGUCCCUAUCUUGUUACCAUGUGCAACUAACUCACUAGUAAACAACCAAGGAAUCUUAUAUCCACAGACACCAUAAUUAGGACAAUCCAUAUGGGAUUCUUACAGUAUAAUGCUCUGAACAAAUUUUGAACUGAACAGAAACUAGAGUUGGCUUUUAGUGUUUGCUCCUGGGGAAAUUUGAAAAGAAUAAGAUAUUUAGUGUCAGCAAAUCCUGGAAAUGCUUUGUUUAUUUGUUUAGAUAUUCAAAGUGAGCCAUUUGCCAAGUCUGCAGAACCAAGUACAAGACUGAGACACAAACAAGUGUUUCUUCUCAGCCAAUAAUAGUUCUAAUACCAUCUGGAAACCUACACCAGUUAAGAAAGAAACAAAUGUGCCUUUCUUUUUUAUUUCCUAUGAAGACCUCAAAGCUUGUAAAUCUGGGAUCUGCUGGGUGAGGAAAAGAGAAUUCCAAAGAUGGGGCGCUCCAUUAAACCCAAGCCCCCUGGCAACUGGGACUUCAGAUCAUAGAGACAAUCAGAGAUCAUGUUUAUUCUGAUCUCCAUGGACCAAAAGUUGCCCCUAACUCUGAAAGAGUUUCAUUGUGAUCCAAUUUAGAGUUCAGUUCAACCCUGUAAAUUACUGUGAUAUUUUUAUUGAUAUCAUGAAAAUGUACCCUUGCUUCUCUAUUGUCACAAAAGCAUGUUGUUGAAACACUUAAAAUGCCUUGGCACACUUUAAAAGUGCUUUUUACAUAGGAGACACAAAAUUAAUGGUGCACUUCAGUCAACACAUCCCGCACAAUGCUUUCUUUCCCCUUCCUCAAAGCUGUAGGACAAAACAAAGUGGGUCCACCAGAGACCACUGAACAUUUCUCUGAUGGUAAUAACAUCUGGUUUGUAAGCAAUGGAAGUCAGUGUUACAGUCUCCCCUCUCAUAUCCUAAUGUAUACAUGAACAGCAUUAAGCUAGUUUCAUCAUCAGAUUUCACUUUUCAGUGAAGUUUUAAUUACUAAUCCUUAUCAUGUUAUUUCUAUGAGGGAGCUGGUAGUUUACCUCCCAUUUCUGACUUUCCAGAUCCUUCUCUUGGCGGGCCCUAGCCUACUCCUUUCCCCUCCUCCUCUUUUCAUGCCCUAUUCAGAGUCCUUCAGAUUCAAUGUGCCUGCUCAGCACUUCACCAGCAGCAUUAUUUGGACCCUGUAUUAUCCUAAUCACACAGCAGUUUCCAGCCAUCAAGUACAUAAUCUCAGUUGCACAUUAGCCUGGAAAUGGGCUUUCCCCCCUUUAGUUAUCUUAUCCACAAACAUGUGCAAAUAUUACCUCAUUUCAUCCUUGUGCUGGUGCCAGAGAUUAACCCCAAAACUGUCAUGAUAAAUGUACCAUUUAAAAAAUAGUCAGUUUCCUCAAACCUUAUUUUGUCAGUCUUGUUUCAAAUUCAUCUCCUGUUAUGACGUGGCUACUAGAACUUGUCAUCUUUUAUACUGUUUCACUUCCAAACAUUGGAGCCAAAUAUGAUGUCAUAUGUUCUAGUAGCACAGCACUUAUCUAAAGGAAAAAGCUUACUCAGAGCUUUUACUAAUGUUUUUAUUUGUUAUAAUAACACACAGCGCAAGUUGGAAAACAUAUUUUUAAAGGAAACCAAUGAGACAGGCUUUAAUCUUUAAAUAUGAAAAGGAUUGUUUGAGGACUUCAAAAGGAAGAAAAGUUAUCUUCCUCAGACCAAGAAAACAGUGAUUGGCAGGAGUUUUAUUCAUCAGCCUUUAAUACUGGCAAAAUCAAUCAGUCAAGUAGCAUCAUGCAGGUGUUACAGAAAUGUUAAAAAGUGAAAGAUUUUGUUUCUAUCCAAAAUCACUUCACACUUAUAUUUUUUAAAAAGGAAAAUAAAACAACAUUAAAAUUCUCCUAUUUCCUAAUUAGCAUCAGUGGCAUCAUAUUUGAAUGGCAUGAAUGGAAGAUGAUAUCAUGGACAUGUAAUGGGUUUGGACACAGAAGACCAGGGCAUGGACUGAAAAAGUGACCCUGACAAAUCUCUCCCUCAUUUAUUAAGAUAAUCUGUUCUACCUCAAAGUGCUUGGGGACCACCAAAUAAUUUAUGUGAAAAUGCUUUGAAAUAAAAAAAGUUCUAUACAAAUAUAUGGUAUCAUCUCUGUUAGUUUUUCAUCCCUACUCUUAACUUGUUUAAAGUUAUCAGGGUUGGCACUCUGCACUGCAUUUGCACUCUAUAUAUACUUCUUUCCCAGCACUGAUCACACUUGCUGUAAUUAUACCUAUACCAUGGUUCUUCCAACUAACUUGCAAGCUUUUGAGAAUCGAUCUCCAGAUUCAGGACAGCUCUGGUGCAUAUGUCUGUUGAAUAAUUUGCUUGCUAAAUGAAUACAUACAUGAGGUCCCCAAUUUUUCACUAAUUCAUUCCCAUUUUCCAUUUUUUCCCCUGAUAGCCUACACUUCUUGCCUUUGCUUUAUUACUAUAUUGUCUGCACAGAAUAAUGUAAAUUAUUAUCUGCCUCAGUUAAGAUGAAACAAUUCAUACCAUAAUUGAAGUUACUGCAACAAGAAAUUUCUCUCAAGUCUUAGUAAUUAAUCUCUAAAAUUCAUGCAAAUUUUUAAAGUAAAUCUAUAAUACAAUUAAAUUUAUCUUAACAAAAAUAAUAUUCUUUUCCUAAAUACUUGAGUAAAAUUGAUAUCUCAGAAAAACGGGCCAGAUUUGUCUUAUAUAUUGAAAAGCCCAAUAGACAUAAUAAUUGACUCAAAGACACUGAAAUACUCUAUAUUAAGAGUUUUAAUUAUAUUAAAAUUAAAGAAGAAUUUGAUCUCAUGAAUAAAGGCAAUUUAAUGGCCUAUUGUAAGCAUACCAUUUCUACCAAAUGCUGAGCUAAAAAGUCCAGAGAACAUCCCCCAUUAUAUCUGGAUUUUGAAGGAUAUGACAUAUUUCAGGUAAGCAACUUUUCUUUUUAAAUCACCCAAGGAGAUAUUUUUUAACACUGGUCCAAUUGUCUAUUGUUAGGCCUCAAAAUAAUAUUCUUUAAGUUUCCAAGAUGCUUCUACUGUGAAGCCAGAGAAUUUUCUGAAGUAUUCUCAAGACUGAGGUGCACAAGACAUGAUAUAACUGAAGAUGCGAGGAAUGAGGAACAAGCAUUAUCUUCUAGAAGCUAAACUCCCAAAGAGGAAUCCAAAGUAGGACCUAACUCUGGUAUCAGAAUUCAGAUGUCUCACUUCAAGUGGCAGAAUGGUUCUCAGACAGACUUCAAUACCUCAUUAUGGUUUUUGACAUAACCAAAGAAAGAAUAAGUCAAAAAGAGGUGAUGAUAUUCAAUGGAGGCACAGAAAAGAAAAACAGAAAAAUUACUACUGGCAGAAUGGCUAUGGCAUCAUUCAGGGAGAACUGUUCUGUCCUGUAAAUACACCCUCUUGUGGCAAGGCACCACCCUCGGGUAAGACAGUGUGAGACAGGGGUUUUAUGUCAUUUAACCUUUCUGAUCUUUUAUAGCCUCAUCUGUAAAACAGUUUUAAAAUACAUGAACAUAAAUCCAUGAAAAUUACCACAAUGCCUGGCAUGUAGUAAAAGUUCAAUAAUAGUGGCUGUUAUUAUGAUUAUUAUUACUAUUGGUUAUUAUAGCUGUUGAUGACACAACUAUUGAAAUUAUUCAAUUCUCACUUUAUCCUUUGUUCUCAUGCUUACAAAGCAACUUUGUAAUUAUAAUUUUGUUUCCCAUAAAAAAUGUGUCUGUUGGGAAAGAAAGUAAUGAGUGGUGACAGAAAUGGCUGCUCUCUAAACAAGCUCUUGUUUCUCAUAAUAAACUAAUAAACUGGAAUUAUUAUUCUUA
Molecule: long non-coding RNA, 6814 nt
Organism: Marmota monax (woodchuck)
Lineage: Eukaryota; Metazoa; Chordata; Mammalia; Rodentia; Sciuridae
Exons: 5
Source: RefSeq, a predicted model, not a curated record